Molecule: ribosomal RNA, 2912 nt
Filed under: Pseudomonas aeruginosa
Lineage: Bacteria; Pseudomonadati; Pseudomonadota; Gammaproteobacteria; Pseudomonadales; Pseudomonadaceae
Description: bacterial LSU rRNA
Rfam family: Bacterial large subunit ribosomal RNA
Source: RNAcentral
GUUAUAUGGUCAAGUGAAGAAGCGCAUACGGUGGAUGCCUUGGCAGUCAGAGGCGAUGAAAGACGUGGUAGCCUGCGAAAAGCUUCGGGGAGUCGGCAAACAGACUUUGAUCCGGAGAUCUCUGAAUGGGGGAACCCACCUAGGAUAACCUAGGUAUCUUGUACUGAAUCCAUAGGUGCAAGAGGCGAACCAGGGGAACUGAAACAUCUAAGUACCCUGAGGAAAAGAAAUCAACCGAGAUUCCCUUAGUAGUGGCGAGCGAACGGGGAUUAGCCCUUAAGCUUCAUUGAUUUUAGCGGAACGCUCUGGAAAGUGCGGCCAUAGUGGGUGAUAGCCCCGUACGCGAAAGGAUCUUUGAAGUGAAAUCGAGUAGGACGGAGCACGAGAAACUUUGUCUGAACAUGGGGGGACCAUCCUCCAAGGCUAAAUACUACUGACUGACCGAUAGUGAACCAGUACCGUGAGGGAAAGGCGAAAAGAACCCCGGAGAGGGGAGUGAAAUAGAACCUGAAACCGUAUGCGUACAAGCAGUGGGAGCCUACUUAUUAGGUGACUGCGUACCUUUUGUAUAAUGGGUCAGCGACUUAUAUUCAGUGGCAAGCUUAACCGUAUAGGGUAGGCGUAGCGAAAGCGAGUCUUAAUAGGGCGUUUAGUCGCUGGGUAUAGACCCGAAACCGGGCGAUCUAUCCAUGAGCAGGUUGAAGGUUAGGUAACACUGACUGGAGGACCGAACCCACUCCCGUUGAAAAGGUAGGGGAUGACUUGUGGAUCGGAGUGAAAGGCUAAUCAAGCUCGGAGAUAGCUGGUUCUCCUCGAAAGCUAUUUAGGUAGCGCCUCAUGUAUCACUCUGGGGGGUAGAGCACUGUUUCGGCUAGGGGGUCAUCCCGACUUACCAAACCGAUGCAAACUCCGAAUACCCAGAAGUGCCGAGCAUGGGAGACACACGGCGGGUGCUAACGUCCGUCGUGAAAAGGGAAACAACCCAGACCGCCAGCUAAGGUCCCAAAGUUGUGGUUAAGUGGUAAACGAUGUGGGAAGGCUUAGACAGCUAGGAGGUUGGCUUAGAAGCAGCCAUCCUUUAAAGAAAGCGUAAUAGCUCACUAGUCGAGUCGGCCUGCGCGGAAGAUGUAACGGGGCUCAAACCACACACCGAAGCUGCGGGUGUCACGUAAGUGACGCGGUAGAGGAGCGUUCUGUAAGCCUGUGAAGGUGAGUUGAGAAGCUUGCUGGAGGUAUCAGAAGUGCGAAUGCUGACAUGAGUAACGACAAUGGGUGUGAAAAACACCCACGCCGAAAGACCAAGGGUUCCUGCGCAACGUUAAUCGACGCAGGGUUAGUCGGUUCCUAAGGCGAGGCUGAAAAGCGUAGUCGAUGGGAAACAGGUUAAUAUUCCUGUACUUCUGGUUACUGCGAUGGAGGGACGGAGAAGGCUAGGCCAGCUUGGCGUUGGUUGUCCAAGUUUAAGGUGGUAGGCUGAAAUCUUAGGUAAAUCCGGGGUUUCAAGGCCGAGAGCUGAUGACGAGUCGUCUUUUAGAUGACGAAGUGGUUGAUGCCAUGCUUCCAAGAAAAGCUUCUAAGCUUCAGGUAACCAGGAACCGUACCCCAAACCGACACAGGUGGUCGGGUAGAGAAUACCAAGGCGCUUGAGAGAACUCGGGUGAAGGAACUAGGCAAAAUGGCACCGUAACUUCGGGAGAAGGUGCGCCGGCUAGGGUGAAGGAUUUACUCCGUAAGCUCUGGCUGGUCGAAGAUACCAGGCCGCUGCGACUGUUUAUUAAAAACACAGCACUCUGCAAACACGAAAGUGGACGUAUAGGGUGUGACGCCUGCCCGGUGCCGGAAGGUUAAUUGAUGGGGUUAGCGCAAGCGAAGCUCUUGAUCGAAGCCCCGGUAAACGGCGGCCGUAACUAUAACGGUCCUAAGGUAGCGAAAUUCCUUGUCGGGUAAGUUCCGACCUGCACGAAUGGCGUAACGAUGGCGGCGCUGUCUCCACCCGAGACUCAGUGAAAUUGAAAUCGCUGUGAAGAUGCAGUGUAUCCGCGGCUAGACGGAAAGACCCCGUGAACCUUUACUGUAGCUUUGCACUGGACUUUGAGCCUGCUUGUGUAGGAUAGGUGGGAGGCUUUGAAGCGUGGACGCCAGUUCGCGUGGAGCCAUCCUUGAAAUACCACCCUGGCAUGCUUGAGGUUCUAACUCUGGUCCGUAAUCCGGAUCGAGGACAGUGUAUGGUGGGCAGUUUGACUGGGGCGGUCUCCUCCUAAAGAGUAACGGAGGAGUACGAAGGUGCGCUCAGACCGGUCGGAAAUCGGUCGCAGAGUAUAAAGGCAAAAGCGCGCUUGACUGCGAGACAGACACGUCGAGCAGGUACGAAAGUAGGUCUUAGUGAUCCGGUGGUUCUGUAUGGAAGGGCCAUCGCUCAACGGAUAAAAGGUACUCCGGGGAUAACAGGCUGAUACCGCCCAAGAGUUCAUAUCGACGGCGGUGUUUGGCACCUCGAUGUCGGCUCAUCACAUCCUGGGGCUGAAGCCGGUCCCAAGGGUAUGGCUGUUCGCCAUUUAAAGUGGUACGCGAGCUGGGUUUAGAACGUCGUGAGACAGUUCGGUCCCUAUCUGCCGUGGACGUUUGAGAUUUGAGAGGGGCUGCUCCUAGUACGAGAGGACCGGAGUGGACGAACCUCUGGUGUUCCGGUUGUCACGCCAGUGGCAUUGCCGGGUAGCUAUGUUCGGAAAAGAUAACCGCUGAAAGCAUCUAAGCGGGAAACUUGCCUCAAGAUGAGAUCUCACUGGGAACUUGAUUCCCCUGAAGGGCCGUCGAAGACUACGACGUUGAUAGGCUGGGUGUGUAAGCGUUGUGAGGCGUUGAGCUAACCAGUACUAAUUGCCCGUGAGGCUUGACCAUAUAACACCCAAACA